Humulus lupulus (European hop) is the source of this 1418-nucleotide long non-coding RNA. RefSeq lists it as uncharacterized. NCBI's taxonomy places the organism in Eukaryota, Viridiplantae, Streptophyta, Magnoliopsida, Rosales, Cannabaceae. The transcript has 2 exons. The record is from RefSeq and is a predicted model, not a curated record.
UUCACUUUAUUCUUUUUUAUCUUAGUUUCUUGUCACUUUCUUGCUGUCGAGAUCAUAUUACACAUGUAGUAAUAUUUGAAUUAUUUGAAUUAUUACACAUGUAGUAAUAACUACUGUGAAUGAAUUUUAUUUCAACAAUUAAUAUAUGGAAAUUGGUAUUUUCCAACUUUACUCUCUUUCUCACUUGGGAAUUCUGAGUGUUCAUCAUCAUCAUCUUCUUCUUCUUCUUCUUCCUCUCAAAUCUGACAUUCUUCUUCUUUCUCAGAGUUCAUCACCAUCAUCUCUUUCUCUUUCUCUUGCUGUAUUUGAGUUUUUCAUUCUCUUUGUCUACAAAAAUUUCAACAACAAAAAAAAAAUUUCUAAGAGUUCAUCAUCAUCUUCUUCUUCUUCUUCCUCUCAAAUCUGACAUUCUUCUUCUUUCUUAGAGUUCAUCAUCAUCAUCUUUUUCUCUUUCUCUUUCUCUUGCUGUAUUUGAGUUUUUCAUUCUCUUUAUUACAAAAAUUAAAAAAAAAAAAAAAUAUUCUGAGAGUUCAUCAUCAUCAUCAUCAUCUUCUUCUUCUUCCUCUCAAAUCUGACCUUCUUCUUUCUCAGAGUUCAUCAUCAUCAUCAUCAUCAUCUCUUUCUCUUUCUCUUGAGUUUUUCAUUCUCUUUCUCUACAAAAAUUUCAAAAACAAAAAAAAAAACUACUCUUUAGUCAAGCAAUCAGAUCAAACUCAAAUCAAAUUUGCACAUUUCUGUUUCUCUUGCUGCAUUUGAGUUUUUCAGUCAUUUUCUCUGCAAAACUUUCAAAAAAAAAAAAAAAAACUUUGAAGUCAGGUAUAUUACUCUCUAUGCUCCUCUCCUUUCCUAAUUUGCUCUUAAUUUAUUAAAUAUGGGGUUCAUACUUUUUUAGACCUUGUGUUUCUUCUCAUGACCUGUUUGGACCCUGUGUUUUGACAAAUUACUUUUUGGACUCUAUGUUUUGUAAAAUAGUUAAAAUAGAACACUAAACUCAAUUUUGAUGAAGAAAAAAUUGAAUAUAACAAUACAGUUUUUAAGCAGAAUAAUUUUAUUUUUGUUCUGAAUUGUUAGUUUGGUAAAUUAUUUGUGAUUUUAGUUGAGAAAACAUUAACCAAAAUCGGAUUUAGGGUUCUAUUUUAACCAUUUUACAAAAGACAGGGUCCAAAAAGUAAUUUGUCAAAACACAGGGUCCAAACAAGUAAUGGGAAAAACACACGGUCCAAAAAAGUAUAAACCCUUAAAUAUGUACACCCAAAAUAUGUACUUAAAUAUCACACACAGUAACGUGUCACUUAAUUUUAAAAUAAUGGGUUAUAAUUUUAAUAAAUGUGAUUAGCUAGACUAAUCUGCUAUAUCACUAAGAAUAAUAUUUGAGUGUAUAUUUUAAGUGUCAAUAACUUAUUUGAAUUUUGGUUGGA